UGAGUGUAUAACAGAGCUCCACAUCAAUAAUACUCCCAGUAAUGUGAGUGUAUAACAGAGCUCCACAGCAAUAAUACUCCCAGUAAUGUGAGUGUAUAACAGAGCUCCACAGCAAUAAUACUCCCAGUAAUGUGUCUGAGGGUAUAGCAGAGCUCCACAGCAAUAAUACUCCCAGUAAUGUGACUGAGUGUAUAACAGAGCUCCACAGCAAUAAUACUCCCAGUGAUGUGAGUGUAUAACAGAGCUCCACAGUAAUAAUACUCCCAGUAAUGUGUCUGAGUGUAUAACAGAGCUCCACAGCAAUAAU
Molecule: non-coding RNA, 307 nt
Organism: Pelobates cultripes (western spadefoot toad)
Lineage: Eukaryota; Metazoa; Chordata; Amphibia; Anura; Pelobatidae
Source: the annotation of a GenBank genome assembly